CCAAAGGGUCGCUGGGAAAACUAAGCCUUACUGUCCAUCUUGCCUUCAGGAUAAUGUGAAAUAUGGCCUAAUUUUUGAAGUUUUUUUCUUAGAAAUUUUACUGAAUCCAAAAUAAAACAAGAAGAUCAUGAGUCCAGAAUUCUCUUUUCUCAACACUAGAUGGCAGUAGAGUUAAAGAAAAAAAUCCCAGCAGUUCUUUGUACAGGGAUUUGGUGAUUUUUCCCAUAAAGCUGCGAUGAGGAUGAACUCAGAGCAAAAUCUAUGGGGAGUUUUAUACCUGGUAUACUAUUUGUAGCCUUCGUAGAGGGUUCUCCAUUCUAGUCACACCGAUUUCCUCUCUGCUGCAGACAUUGGACACUGGCCUAGUGUUCCAGAAGCUCUGAGUUCAGAGUCCUCAUGUACUAAUGCCAGCAACAGUCAGUUUCACAGUGCCUCUGGCCAGCUGCACUCUUAUGCAACUCAACAAUUUCUCACCUUUUCUCCUUUUAAAAACAAUAUAAGCAACAAAACCACCCAGCUCCCACUGCUGCAUAACCCAGAAGUAUUGGAAAGAUCACUUCAUACAAUUCUUGAGGCAAUCCUGCAGGAUCAAGCAAUUAGGUCCUUGGAGUGGUGGCCAGCUCAUCAAAGCCUCUUUGUACUGGUGCUUCCCCUGAUCCUGUUUUGUUCCCUUGUCCCUCUUUCCUGCUCCUAGCUAGGAUCACACUCCCCAAUAAAGUUUUUGAACAAUGA
Molecule: long non-coding RNA, 732 nt
Filed under: Homo sapiens (human)
Lineage: Eukaryota; Metazoa; Chordata; Mammalia; Primates; Hominidae
Description: HSALNT0353330
Source: RNAcentral